Molecule: long non-coding RNA, 354 nt
Organism: Carassius gibelio (silver crucian carp)
Lineage: Eukaryota; Metazoa; Chordata; Actinopteri; Cypriniformes; Cyprinidae
Exons: 3
Source: RefSeq, a predicted model, not a curated record
AGUCAACAUGAGGAAAUUCCUGUGGUCUUCUACAGUCUAUAUGAGAAAAUAUGAAUGAAGGUCUUACACAAAUGCUCAGUGAUGGCCUGACGUUGACCAAUAGCUUGACCUGAUGCCGCUGAAAGAGGAGUGUCAAGAAUUUAAUAAAAAGGAAGAACAAAAUCUGUAUGAAAAUAUUGAUUUCACAACUGGAGAAAAACCUUCUGGUUGCUCACUGACUGAAAAGACAUCCACACAAAAUAGAAGUCGCUCCUGCAUUCAGUGUGGAAAGUUUUUCUCUAGCCAUAAAACUCUUGAUGUCCAUAUGAGAAUUCACAAAGGAGAGAAGCCUUUUACAUGCAAACAGUGUGGAAG